GACGAACGCUGGCGGCGUGCUUAACACAUGCAAGUCGAACGGAAAGGCCCUGCUUUUGUGGGGUGCUCGAGUGGCGAACGGGUGAGUAACACGGGAGUAACCUGCCCUUGACUUUGGGAUAACUUCAGGAAACUGGGGCUAAUACCGGAUAGGAGCUCCUGCUGCAUGGUGGGGGUUGGAAAGUUUCGGCGGUUGGGGAUGGACGCGCGGCUUAUCAGCUUGUUGGUGGGGUAGUGGCUUACCAAGGCUUUGACGGGUAGCCGGCCUGAGAGGGUGACCGGGCACCUUGGGACUGCGGUACGGACCAGACUCCUACGGGAGGCAGCAGUGGGGAAUAUUGCACAAUGGGCGGAAGCCUGAUGCAGCAACGCCGCGUGCGGGAUGACGGCCUUCGGGUUGUAAACCGCUUUCGCCUGUGACGAAGCGUGAGUGACGGUAAUGGGUAAAGAAGCACCGGCUAACUACGUG
This 468-nucleotide ribosomal RNA is filed under the name uncultured bacterium. RNAcentral's name for it is "partial 16S ribosomal RNA". It matches the Rfam family "Bacterial small subunit ribosomal RNA", at positions 28 to 507 of the family's 1533-position model. The record is from RNAcentral.